Molecule: transfer RNA, 69 nt
Filed under: Parnassius bremeri
Lineage: Eukaryota; Metazoa; Arthropoda; Insecta; Lepidoptera; Papilionidae
Also listed under: 1 other name
Description: tRNA-Leu
Source: RNAcentral
ACUAUUUUGGCAGAAAAAAUGUAAUGAUUUUAGAAAUCAUAAAUAUAUAACUUGGUUAUAUAUGUAGUA